GGAGCCGGCCGGGCGGCCGCGGGCGGUCUCGACCGUUCGAGGAAAGUCCGGACUCCGUAGGGCAGGGUGCUGGCGAGAGCCAGGCGGGGGCGACCUCGUGGACAGGGCAACAGAGAGCAGACCGCCACGCUCGGCUUCGGUCGAGGGUGGAAAGGGUGAAACGGUGCGGUAAGAGCGCACCAGCGCGGCGGGCGACCGUCGCGGCUGGCAACCCCCACCCGGAGCAAGGCCGAGCAGGCAGCGUCCGAGGACGGCCCGUCCGAGCUGCCGGGUAGGCCGCAUCGGGCCGGCGAACGGCCCGACGACGAUGUUCCGGCAUCGUCGAGAGAGAUGGUCGCCGGCGGGGCGUGAGCCCCGCGCACAGGAUCCGGCUUACAGGCCGGCUCCUCCA
This 391-nucleotide RNase P RNA is filed under the name Actinomycetota bacterium. Its description in RNAcentral is "RNase P RNA component class A". It matches the Rfam family "Bacterial RNase P class A". From Rfam's summary of the family: Ribonuclease P (RNase P) is a ubiquitous endoribonuclease, found in archaea, bacteria and eukarya as well as chloroplasts and mitochondria. Its best characterised activity is the generation of mature 5'-ends of tRNAs by cleaving the 5'-leader elements of precursor-tRNAs. The record is from RNAcentral. Lineage: Bacteria; Bacillati; Actinomycetota.